Molecule: transfer RNA, 68 nt
Filed under: Batrachuperus pinchonii (Western Chinese mountain salamander)
Lineage: Eukaryota; Metazoa; Chordata; Amphibia; Caudata; Hynobiidae
Description: tRNA-Phe
Rfam family: tRNA
About the family: Transfer RNA (tRNA) molecules are approximately 80 nucleotides in length. Their secondary structure includes four short double-helical elements and three loops (D, anti-codon, and T loops).
Source: RNAcentral
GUUUAUGUAGCUUAAUUAAAGCAUGACACUGAAGAUGCCAAGAUAGAUUUUUGAAUAUCUCAAAAACA